GACGAACGCUGGCGGCGUGCUUAACACAUGCAAGUCGAACGGAAAGGCGCUGCUUUUGUGGGGUGCUCGAGUGGCGAACGGGUGAGUAACACGUGAGUAACCUGCCCUUGACUUUGGGAUAACUUCAGGAAACUGGGGCUAAUACCGGAUAGGAGCUCCUGCUGCAUGGUGGGGGUUGGAAAGUUUCGGCGGUUGGGGAUGGACUCGCGGCUUAUCAGCUUGUUGGUGGGGUAGUGGCUUACCAAGGCUUUGACGGGUAGCCGGCCUGAGAGGGUGACCGGCCACAUGGGGACUGAGAUACGGCCCAGACUCCUACGGGAGGCAGCAGUGGGGAAUAUUGCACAAUGGGCGGAAGCCUGAUGCAGCAACGCCGCGUGCGGGAUGACGGCCUUCGGGUUGUAAACCGCUUUCGCCUGUGACGAAGCGUGAGUGACGGUAAUGGGUAAAGAAGCACCGGCUAACUACGUG
RNAcentral lists this ribosomal RNA (468 nucleotides) under uncultured bacterium. Its description in RNAcentral is "partial 16S ribosomal RNA". It matches the Rfam family "Bacterial small subunit ribosomal RNA", at positions 28 to 507 of the family's 1533-position model. The record is from RNAcentral.